UAUAGGUUUGGUCCUAGCCUUAUUAUUAAUUAUCAGUAAGAUUAUACAUGCAAGCAACCACAUACCAGUGAGAAUGCCCUUCAAAUCUACUCGAUCAACAGGAGCAGGCAUCAAGCACGCCAACCGGCAGCUCACUACGCCUUGCUGAGCCACACCCCCACGGGACACAGCAGUAACAAAACUUGAGCAAUAAACGAAAGUUUGACUAAGCUAUACUGAUCAGCAUAAAUAGGGUUGGUAAAUUUCGUGCCAGCCACCGCGGUCAUACGAUUAACCCAAAUUAAUAUUACACGGCGUAAAGUGUGUUUAAGUUAAUCAACUAAUAAAGUUAAAUUUAAUCUAAGCCGUAAAACGCACUAGACUAAAUAAAAAUAAUCUACGAAAGUGACUUUAACACUCUGAAUACACGACAGCCAAGACACAAACUGGGAUUAGAUACCCCACUAUGCUUGACCAUAAACUUGAGUAAUUACAAAACAAUACUACUCGCCAGAGUACUACAAGCAAUAGCUCAAAACUCAAAGGACUUGACGGUGCCUUAUAUCCAUCUAGAGGAGCCUGUUCUAUAAUCGAUAAACCCCGAUAAACCCUACCACCCCUUGCUAAUCCAAUCUAUAUACCGCCAUCCUCAGCAAACCCUACUAAGGCCACAAAGUAAGCACAAAUAUUUAAACAUAAAAACGUUAGGUCAAGGUGUAGUCUAUGAGGUGGAAAGAAAUGGGCUACAUUAUCUGCAACAGAUCAAACAUACAGCAACCCUCAUGAAACAAAGGGCCAAAGGAGGAUUUAGUAGUAAAUUAAGAAUAGAGAGCUUAAUUGAACAAGGCCAUAAAGCACGUACACACCGCCCGUCACCCUCCUCAAAACCCCAUAGCACUUAUAUCACAAUUAUAAUUUAUUCUAAUUCUUAGAGGAGAUAAGUCGUAACAAGGUAAGCAUACUGGAAAGUGUGCUUGGAUUAUC
RNAcentral lists this non-coding RNA (963 nucleotides) under Phaner electromontis. RNAcentral describes it as "12S ribosomal RNA". It matches the Rfam family "Bacterial small subunit ribosomal RNA". The record is from RNAcentral. Lineage: Eukaryota; Metazoa; Chordata; Mammalia; Primates; Cheirogaleidae.